AACAAUUAUCAUCUUCAGUUUUGAGAGACUUAAGAAAGUUUUUCAUUAUAACUUGCUUGCAAAUUGCAUUUGCAACAUUUUA
Molecule: unclassified non-coding RNA, 82 nt
Filed under: 'Apium graveolens' phyllody phytoplasma
Lineage: Bacteria; Bacillati; Mycoplasmatota; Mollicutes; Acholeplasmatales; Acholeplasmataceae
Description: partial 16S-23S ribosomal RNA intergenic spacer
Source: RNAcentral